RNAcentral lists this long non-coding RNA (1336 nucleotides) under Canis lupus familiaris (dog). RNAcentral's name for it is "lncRNA (ENSCAFG00030012023.1)". The record is from RNAcentral. Lineage: Eukaryota; Metazoa; Chordata; Mammalia; Carnivora; Canidae.
UCAUCAGGACUUACAGAGGCUCAAAGUCCAAACCCACGGGGAGGUGGAGCUAGUGGGAGUCGGAAACCAUUAGCAGGUAGUUUCCUUUACUCCGCAGGCACUAGUCUAAGCCGGUCCAGGUUAACUUCCACGGGGGCAGCCCCGCCCCGGAAGCACACCCUCCUCUUCUGGGGGGAGAGGGGAGCCGGGCCAGGAGGGAGGGGAGCCGUCUUCCCCCGCGACUGCGCCUUGGGCAGCCUUCUGGGGUGUCCCCUGAGGCUAACCCCGCACCCCCAGGUGGCUGGAGGGCAAAGCCAGGAGCACCGACACGACCAGGGCGAAGGGCACACGUUUUCCCGCCUGGACCCGAGCGGCUACGGACCCUCAGCCAUCCCUGCCGCGCCGCAGGCAGGGGCGGCUCCGGCCACGCCCCAAAGACCCCAGACCCCGUCUCCACCCGGGAACUCGGGGCUCCCGCACUGGGGGGCUGCGGCCGCCGGGCUCGAUUAGGCCCCGGCUGCCACCAGAGGUCGCCACGAGCCCCCCGCCCCCGAAACUCCUCCGGACCUCCGGGACCAGAACCCGGACAACCUCCUGGGGCCCUCGGGGUCCCGCCCCACCGGGCCACGGCCCGGUGCCGGGACUUCGGAGGCAGGGGCCCCGCCUACCUGAGGGUCCCGGCCUGGCGGACGCUCGCAGUAGGAACACUUCCGGCGGACGCAUGCACUUCCGGCCUCCGGGAGCCAAUGAGGGUGCGGCCACGGGUGUUGCUCAGUCUGGCGUCCGUGCUGCGCGGCGUCUCUCCGGGAGGAUUCGGGCGGGUGGGCCCCAGGACCUGAGUUAGAGUUGUGCUGUGAAACCCUGGUUCUGGCCCAGCACCGAGAAGCCUUUGCUGUGGUGGGAAUGUCCAGUGACCCACCUUGCACGACACUUCAGGUCCACAGAAUUUCCUUGUGAAAGUAAGUGACUGCUGUGCUACUGUCAUCAGGUCUCGUUUUUUGAUUAACGGUAAUCGUGUGGACACAUCCAGGCUUUCAGUAACGCAGAUCUCUCAGGGACAGACAGGGGUCAGUGCCAAAGCAAAGCACACUGAAAAAAAAUAUGCUUCUUUGCUUUAGCAUUUGAAGAACUUGCUAAACAAACGUUUUCUCAUUGUGUACUUCCCCUAAUUUUGGUUAUGACAGUAUGUGUUCUCUUCAGGCAUUUGUGUGCGAUCAUCAGAGCUGUGCUGACCCAGGCGUUCUGUUUGCCUGCUCUUCUUUCUACGUGACUUAGUCUGAUUCGGCACUUCUCUGCUUAGAGUGUUCCCUGGAUUCUUGUCUAGAGUUCAAGGAUAAUGAAAAAGUAUUCCCAGUGU